UUAAGCGACUAAGCGUACACGGUGGAUGCCCUGGCAGUCAGAGGCGAUGAAGGACGUGCUAAUCUGCGAAAAGCGUCGGUAAGGUGAUAUGAACCGUUAUAACCGGCGAUGUCCGAAUGGGGAAACCCAGUGUGAUUCGUCACACUAUCGUUAACUGAAUACAUAGGUUAACGAGGCGAACCGGGGGAACUGAAACAUCUAAGUACCCCGAGGAAAAGAAAUCAACCGAGAUUCCCCCAGUAGCGGCGAGCGAACGGGGAGCAGCCCAGAGUCUGAAUCAGCUUGUGUGUUAGUGGAACGGUCUGGAAAGUCCGACGGUACAGGGUGAUAGUCCCGUACACCAAAAUGCACAGGCUGUGAACUCGAAGAGUAGGGCGGGACACGUGGUAUCCUGUCUGAAUAUGGGGGGACCAUCCUCCAAGGCUAAAUACUCCUGACUGACCGAUAGUGAACCAGUACCGUGAGGGAAAGGCGAAAAGAACCCCGGCGAGGGGAGUGAAAAAGAACCUGAAACCGUGUACGUACAAGCAGUGGGAGCACCUUCGGGUGUGACUGCGUACCUUUUGUAUAAUGGGUCAGCGACUUAUAUUCUGUAGCAAGGUUAACCGUAUAGGGGAGCCGCAGGGAAACCGAGUCUUAACUGGGCGUUAAGUUGCAGGGUAUAGACCCGAAACCCGGUGAUCUAGCCAUGGGCAGGUUGAAGGUUGGGUAACACUAACUGGAGGACCGAACCGACUAAUGUUGAAAAAUUAGCGGAUGACUUGUGGCUGGGGGUGAAAGGCCAAUCAAACCGGGAGAUAGCUGGUUCUCCCCGAAAGCUAUUUAGGUAGCGCCUCGUGAAUUCAUCUUCGGGGGUAGAGCACUGUUUCGGCUAGGGGGUCAUCCCGACUUACCAACCCGAUGCAAACUACGAAUACCGAAGAAUGUUAUCACGGGAGACACACGGCGGGUGCUAACGUCCGUCGUGAAGAGGGAAACAACCCAGACCGCCAGCUAAGGUCCCAAAGUCAUGGUUAAGUGGGAAACGAUGUGGGAAGGCACAGACAGCCAGGAUGUUGGCUUAGAAGCAGCCAUCAUUUAAAGAAAGCGUAAUAGCUCACUGGUCGAGUCGGCCUGCGCGGAAGAUGUAACGGGGCUAAACCAUGCACCGAAGCUGCGGCAGCGACACUAUGUGUUGUUGGGUAGGGGAGCGUUCUGUAAGCCUGCGAAGGUGACCUGUGAGGGUUGCUGGAGGUAUCAGAAGUGCGAAUGCUGACAUAAGUAACGAUAAAGCGGGUGAAAAGCCCGCUCGCCGGAAGACCAAGGGUUCCUGUCCAACGUUAAUCGGGGCAGGGUGAGUCGACCCCUAAGGCGAGGCCGAAAGGCGUAGUCGAUGGGAAACAGGUUAAUAUUCCUGUACUUGGUGUUACUGCGAAGGGGGGACGGAGAAGGCUAUGUUAGCCGGGCGACGGUUGUCCCGGUUUAAGCAUGUAGGCUGGUUGUCCAGGCAAAUCCGGAUAAUCAAGGCUGAGGUGUGAUGACGAGGCACUACGGUGCUGAAGUAACAAAUGCCCUGCUUCCAGGAAAAGCCUCUAAGCAUCAGGUAACAUCAAAUCGUACCCCAAACCGACACAGGUGGUCAGGUAGAGAAUACCAAGGCGCUUGAGAGAACUCGGGUGAAGGAACUAGGCAAAAUGGUGCCGUAACUUCGGGAGAAGGCACGCUGGUGUGUAGGUGAAGUCCCUGCGGAUGGAGCUGAGACCAGUCGAAGAUACCAGCUGGCUGCAACUGUUUAUUAAAAACACAGCACUGUGCAAACACGAAAGUGGACGUAUACGGUGUGACGCCUGCCCGGUGCCGGAAGGUUAAUUGAUGGGGUUAUCCGUAAGGAGAAGCUCUUGAUCGAAGCCCCGGUAAACGGCGGCCGUAACUAUAACGGUCCUAAGGUAGCGAAAUUCCUUGUCGGGUAAGUUCCGACCUGCACGAAUGGCGUAAUGAUGGCCAGGCUGUCUCCACCCGAGACUCAGUGAAAUUGAACUCGCUGUGAAGAUGCAGUGUACCCGCGGCAAGACGGAAAGACCCCGUGAACCUUUACUAUAGCUUGACACUGAACAUUGAGCCUUGAUGUGUAGGAUAGGUGGGAGGCUUUGAAGCGUGGACGCCAGUCUGCGUGGAGCCAACCUUGAAAUACCACCCUUUAAUGUUUGAUGUUCUAACGUUGGCCCCUUACCGGGGUUGCGGACAGUGUCUGGUGGGUAGUUUGACUGGGGCGGUCUCCUCCCAAAGCGUAACGGAGGAGCACGAAGGUUAGCUAAUCCUGGUCGGACAUCAGGAGGUUAGUGCAAUGGCAUAAGCUAGCUUGACUGCGAGCGUGACGGCGCGAGCAGGUGCGAAAGCAGGUCAUAGUGAUCCGGUGGUUCUGAAUGGAAGGGCCAUCGCUCAACGGAUAAAAGGUACUCCGGGGAUAACAGGCUGAUACCGCCCAAGAGUUCAUAUCGACGGCGGUGUUUGGCACCUCGAUGUCGGCUCAUCACAUCCUGGGGCUGAAGUAGGUCCCAAGGGUAUGGCUGUUCGCCAUUUAAAGUGGUACGCGAGCUGGGUUUAGAACGUCGUGAGACAGUUCGGUCCCUAUCUGCCGUGGGCGCUGGAGAAUUGAGGGGGGCUGCUCCUAGUACGAGAGGACCGGAGUGGACGCAUCACUGGUGUUCGGGUUGUCAUGCCAAUGGCACUGCCCGGUAGCUAAAUGCGGAAGAGAUAAGUGCUGAAAGCAUCUAAGCACGAAACUUGCCCCGAGAUGAGUUCUCCCUGAGACUUUAAGUCUCCUGAAGGAACGUUAAAGACGAUGACGUUGAUAGGCCGGGUGUGUAAGCGCAGCGAUGCGUUGAGCUAACCGGUACUAAUGAACCGUGAGGCUUAACCUU
This 2900-nucleotide ribosomal RNA is filed under the name Klebsiella pneumoniae. RNAcentral describes it as "bacterial LSU rRNA". It matches the Rfam family "Bacterial large subunit ribosomal RNA". The record is from RNAcentral. Lineage: Bacteria; Pseudomonadati; Pseudomonadota; Gammaproteobacteria; Enterobacterales; Enterobacteriaceae.